GUGAGGAAUUUUCCGCAAUGGGCGAAAGCCUGACGGAGCAAUGCCGCGUGAAGGAUGAAGGCCUAUGGGUUGUAAACUUCUUUUCUCAGAAAGGAAUUAUGACGGUAUCUGAGGAAUAAGCAUCGGCUAACUCUGUGCCAGCAGCCGCGGUAAGACAGAGGAUGCAAGCGUUAUCCGGAAUGAUUGGGCGUAAAGCGUCUGUAGGUUGUUUAAAAAGUAUUCUGUCAAAGAUUAGGGCUUAACCCUAGAUAGGCAGAAUAAACUUUUAUGCUAGAGUGUGGUAGAGGCAGAGGGAAUUCCCGGUGGAGCGGUGAAAUGCGUAGAUAUCGGGAGGAACACCAAAGGCGAAGGCACUCUGCUGGGCCAAUACUAACACUGAGAGACGAAAGCGAGGGGAGCAAAUGGGAUUAGAAACCCGGGUAGUCC
RNAcentral lists this ribosomal RNA (426 nucleotides) under uncultured bacterium. RNAcentral describes it as "bacterial SSU rRNA". It matches the Rfam family "Bacterial small subunit ribosomal RNA", at positions 354 to 796 of the family's 1533-position model. The record is from RNAcentral.